This 328-nucleotide ribosomal RNA is filed under the name uncultured Chlorobiota bacterium. RNAcentral describes it as "bacterial SSU rRNA". It matches the Rfam family "Bacterial small subunit ribosomal RNA", at positions 28 to 351 of the family's 1533-position model. The record is from RNAcentral. Lineage: Bacteria; Pseudomonadati; Chlorobiota.
GACGAACGCUGGCGGCGUGCUUAACACAUGCAAGUCUACGAGAACGAGGUAGCAAUAUCUUUAGUAAAGUGGCGCACGGGUGCGUAACACGUAAGCAAUCUACCUUUGGGUCUGGAAUAACUUCGAGAAAUCGAGGCUAAUACCGGAUAAUGCAGCGGCAUCGCAUGGUGAUGUUGUUAAAAGUUUAAGUAAUGCCUAGAGAUGAGCUUGCGCCUGAUUAGCUAGUUGGUGAGGUAAAGGCCCACCAAGGCGAUGAUCGGUAGCCGGCCUGAGAGGGUGUACGGCCACACUGGGACUGAGAUACGGCCCAGACUCCUACGGGUGGCUG